UAGGGAAUCUUCCACAAUGGACGCAAGUCUGAUGGAGCAACGCCGCGUGAGUGAAGAAGGUUUUCGGACCGUAAAGCUCUGUUGUUGGUGAAGAAGGAUAGAGGUAGUAACUGGCCUUUAUUUGACGGUAAUCAACCAGAAAGUCACGGCUAACUACGUGCCAGCAGCCGCGGUAAAUACGUAGGUGGCAAGCGUUGUCCGGAUUAUUGGGCGUAAAGCGAGCGCAGGCGGAAGAA
RNAcentral lists this ribosomal RNA (236 nucleotides) under uncultured bacterium. RNAcentral describes it as "partial 16S ribosomal RNA". It matches the Rfam family "Bacterial small subunit ribosomal RNA", at positions 355 to 583 of the family's 1533-position model. The record is from RNAcentral.